AGCUUUGUGCAGUGGUAGUAUCAUAGUCAAUGAGGUUUAUCCAAGGCACGAUUAUUGGUAAUUAAAGCCCAGAUCUCACUCUGCCAUAAAGCCUGAUGUGAUCUCUACCUCCAAAUGAGAAUACUUCCUCCUUGGAA
This is a small nuclear RNA of Vulpes vulpes (red fox), 137 nucleotides long. Its record names the gene U4. It matches the Rfam family "U4 spliceosomal RNA". From Rfam's summary of the family: U4 small nuclear RNA (U4 snRNA) is a component of the major U2-dependent spliceosome. The structure of U4 snRNA from yeast and human has been reported. The record is from Ensembl. Lineage: Eukaryota; Metazoa; Chordata; Mammalia; Carnivora; Canidae.